AGGACGAACGCUGGCGGCGUGCUUCACACAUGCAAGUCGAACGGGGCUCAUUCGGUGGUAACACCGGAGAAGGCCUAGUGGCGAACGGGUGCGUAACACGUGAAGAACCUGCCCCGAAGACUGGGAUAACAGCGGGAAACCGCUGCUAAUACCGGAUGACCCCACCAGGCCGCAUGGCCAGGUGAGGAAAUGGGCCUACCGCUUCGGGAGGGCUUCGCGGCCUAUCAGCUUGUUGGUGGGGUAACGGCCUACCAAGGCUACGACGGGUAGCUGGUCUGAGAGGACGACCAGCCACACUGGGACUGAGACACGGCCCAGACUCCUACGGGAGGCAGCAGUGGGGGAAUAUUGCGCAAUGGGCGAAAGCCUGACGCAGCGACGCCGCGUGAGGGAUGAAGGCCUUCGGGUUGUAAACCUCUUUCAGCAGGGACGAAGCGAAAGUGACGGUACCUGCAGAAGAAGCACCGGCUAACUACGUGCCAGCAGCCGC
RNAcentral lists this ribosomal RNA (490 nucleotides) under uncultured bacterium. RNAcentral's name for it is "SSU rRNA". It matches the Rfam family "Bacterial small subunit ribosomal RNA", at positions 26 to 518 of the family's 1533-position model. The record is from RNAcentral.